This 1365-nucleotide long non-coding RNA is filed under the name Serinus canaria (Common canary). RNAcentral's name for it is "lncRNA (ENSSCAG00000015807.1)". The record is from RNAcentral. Lineage: Eukaryota; Metazoa; Chordata; Aves; Passeriformes; Fringillidae.
UUCCUACUUCUCCUUUACCCUAAAGCACAUCUGCGGCAAGGACGUCUCCGUGAUGAUGCACAGAGCAUCCCUCGUGGAUCUUAGCAAAGCUCUUCCCCACCCUACUCAUCACCGGGAGCACCGGUGGAGGAGGAGGAGCAGGGACUGCUCUCUUUCCCCUUUGUCCCGAGGGCAGCAGAGGGUGAGAAACCAGACUUUUCGCCGAGCAAGCAAAAAGACUCGGGUGAUGAAGCCAAACCACUUCACUCCCUUCCCACCGUGCCGCUGUGCUGCUCCCUCGGCCAGGAGGGUGCCGGGGACACCGGGGGAUCGGGGCGGGGCUGGGGGGACCCACCCAGAGCCAGCUCCGGACCCCGGCCACCACAGCUCGCGUGGAAACUUCUGGGAUUACGUUUCCCGUGUGGGAAUGGUCCCGGUGGGGUGAAGGUACCUUGGGGCGGGCGGGGGAGCCCCCGGGGUCACCGAAGAUCGCUGCUGGCCGGGUGCUUUUUGGGGUUGCUGGUGUCCUCGGGGUGCUGCCGGACAUUUGCGGUGUGCUGGGACGCGUGUCACGGCCAGGGGGCUGUGACGCACGGGGACAACGUGCCACGAGGCUGUGGCCGGUGACUCAGGGACACGGGGCGAGCUGGCAAAGGGGCGUGGGUUACGUCGGUCACCCUGAAUCACCCGUGGCACCGCCGGCGGCUGCAGCAAGCUGGGUGAGCAGCGCGGCACCUCCAUCCCUCCCCUCUGCAGCCCCUCCGGCCCCUUCCUGGGGAUCCUGGUGCUGAACCCCCACCAUGGCAGCUCGGCCGGGCUGUGCUGGUCCCCGCCAAGCCGCUGGGUCCGGGUGCAGUGGAACCCACCCGUGUUUGGGGGCCGCGGGAGGCUGGGGCGGACACGGAAACGGGGCGUGUGUGUCAAAGCGGGCGGUCGGAAAGAGCUCCCUCUGUUUGUGAGCCCUUCGUGGUGCCGUGGGAAAGGCUGAUCGCUGACCUGCGCCUUCCAGCCCUGCCUUGUCCCCCGGCAGCAGCAAAGGAGCAUUAAAUGUGAAUUACAGCAGGGGCUGAGGGCAUGUGGUGGCACUGAGGGACGGGGCUCUAGAGCAAACCGGGCUGUCCCCAGCGCAGGGGAUGUGUGGGAACACAUCUACACUGCUUGAUGUGCUGAGAACAGACAACUCACAGCAUCAGUGAGAGCUGCUGCAGCUCCCUGAACCCUUCAUGGCUAUAUGGAAGUGCCAACCAUACCUUAGAUCCUACCACAGAUCCUACCUUAGAUCCUAGCCCCUGCUCCGUCAUUACAAUUCCCCCAUUUUUCCUCCCAUUUUAUUAUUCUAGGGGUUUGGUGUUUUAGGAUGUGGGGAAGGAGCAGAGAUGGCUCUCA